Herpailurus yagouaroundi (jaguarundi) is the source of this 701-nucleotide long non-coding RNA. RefSeq lists it as uncharacterized. The record is from RefSeq and is a predicted model, not a curated record. The transcript has 3 exons. NCBI's taxonomy places the organism in Eukaryota, Metazoa, Chordata, Mammalia, Carnivora, Felidae.
UGGGGCUCAAACUCACAAACCGUGAGAUCAUGACCCGAGCAGAAACCAAAAGUCGGACACUUAACCCACUGAGCCACCAGGCGCCCCCCUUGACAACACUUCUUGUACAUGGAAAACUGGGAGGGCAAGAGCAAGGACUGACUGGAACCACCUUGACUCAACGAUGACCUUCAAAGCCUAGUGGUCGCUGCUCACCUUUGCCUCCCGCAUCGCUUGUGCCUUCCCUUUUGACUGACGCUCUAGCCUGGAAACAUUCAAGAAGAGAUUCUGAGAAGUGCAGUGCUUGGCUUUACCAAGUAGAUGGAAAUUGCCCCAUAGAAAUGUCAUAAUGCAAGUCACGCACCUGUUACAGACAAAACUGUAAUGAACCACCUUGGACAGACCUUUCCCGACAUGAAAGUUAAAGUCCUAGAAGAGGAAUUGUUAGAUCCUUUGUGCAUUUGUAAUUUUGAUACAUAUUGCCAAACUACCCUCCAUAGAGUUCUUACUAACUUACAGAUUGACAUGAACAAGGAUGCAUUUUCCCACACCCUUACCAAUGCAGUGUGUUGGCAAGUGUUUUGAUAUUUGCCAAUUUGGGGAGAAAUGAGCAUCUCCUUAUAGUUUUAACAUGGACUUCUUUUGUGAGAAAUUAUGUUUCGGAGCUGUUUCCUUUUCUGUGAGUCAAUUGCUUUUAAAAAUCUUUUCAACUGAGAACAAAC